Molecule: long non-coding RNA, 1570 nt
Organism: Panicum hallii
Lineage: Eukaryota; Viridiplantae; Streptophyta; Magnoliopsida; Poales; Poaceae
Exons: 3
Source: RefSeq, a predicted model, not a curated record
ACCAACACUGACUCCCACCAACCUCCUCCUCCCCCCGUUACCGUCGUGAAACUCUCCGCCGUCUUCCACACGCCACGCCCCUCCUCCCCCACCCCGCCGCGCACAGCUCUAUGAGGGUCCUCUUCUUCAAGUACGCCACUGCGCCAGCUUCUCAUGUGCUGCACCCCCCGCACCGGAUCUGCCCACCCCAUGCGGGAUUCGAUUGUCCACGCCUGCGAGCGUGAGGGAGGGCCCAAGUCGCUGCCCACCCGAGUUCGAGGACGACGAGACGACGAGCCGCCGUGCUAGCGCGGGAUUGGUCUGAACUUUGGAUGUGUUUUGCGUUGUUUUCCUCUCCUUUUUGUGUGUGAGCACACGAAGAAAUCGGCGAAGCAUGGAGGGGCCUAGAUGUGUCAGAUCUGCGGCGAUGGAGUCGGCACGACGGCGGACAUUGGGCUCUUCACCGCCUGUGACGUCUGUGGCUUCCCGAUCUGCCGCCCCUGCUAUGAGUACGAGCGCUAAGACGGUACCUAAGCGUGCCCCCAGUGCAAGACCAAGUACAAACGACACAAGGGCGAUCCUGUGGUGCUGCUGGUAGGAAUUUCGUUGCCAGCUAUUUGUGGUGUCGGAGAUGAUCUGGCUACAGAUGUACGUGGCGUUCAGCCUGCUGGCGAUGGUGUCGCCCGAUGUACUAAUCCUUCAGCUGUCGGGAGCAGUUCUACCUGACGAUGGUCUACCUCUCGACCUCCAAGAGCUGUGUCUUGCUGCUCCUCAACACGGGCCUCAUUGCCGUGUGCGCCUCAAUGAGAAGCUAUACUAGAUUCGGGUAUAGGUGGUGUUGGUAGUGUUGCUGCGGAGAUGUUCAAUACAUGUGGAAUUGGAUGCCUUCUGUUGUAUGACUAUGACACAGUUGAGUUGGCUAACAUGAAUAGGUUGUUCUUUCGUCCAGAACAGGUAAAGUUCCUGGCUUAUAUGUGUAUGUGCUUUCCAUCUGCUUUCUGUUUUCUAAUCCAUUGUCAGUUGUUUGCCUGAUUGCUCCUGAAAUCUUAUUUCAAUCUAUGGAUAUUAUCAGAAUUAGUUCUGAAGAGCAGGUAUUUAUCUGGUUAUUUAAUGAUUGCUUCAUAUUUUCUUCUGUUUAAAAAGACCGGCUGGAGUUUUUCUUUGACUACAUGCUUAUAUUUUAUUUAGGAAGCUAUCUUUCAUGUUGUUGCUGCUAUUCUUCACUGGGGGAAUGUCGAGUUUGCAGAGGGGGAUGAUGUAGAUUCAUCAAAACCAACUUUUUUUCCUUCUUUUAGAAACUGUUAAAUGGGUUACAUCUGACAUUAGAACUCCAAUUGUCAUAUUUUAGGUGUGAUGAGAAAGCUCUAGAGAAUUUCCCUUUUAGCACCAAGACAUUGAGAAAAAAAAACAAUUAAAGAGACAACAUUAUUCACAAACUCAGCAUUACCGAACUUAUAUGGAGAGACAACAUUAUUCACAAACCCAUGCAGAGAUUGGAAUAAUAAUAUUCCCUUUUUUGAUAAUGAUGGAUUUCUAUUUUUUUAUAUGGAGUUGAACUUCUAUUGGCUUAUUGUGUGGUAUUGUUUUAUGU